RNAcentral lists this antisense RNA (75 nucleotides) under Streptomyces albus subsp. albus DSM 41398. RNAcentral's name for it is "ASpks TB sRNA". It matches the Rfam family "ASpks TB sRNA". Lineage: Bacteria; Bacillati; Actinomycetota; Actinomycetes; Kitasatosporales; Streptomycetaceae. The record is from Rfam by way of RNAcentral.
CUUCACCGAGCCGAGCCACAGCGGCGCCUCGGCGCUCUUCUCCUUGCCGUACGUGGCGAGCAGGGCCUGCGCCUC